This 868-nucleotide long non-coding RNA is filed under the name Coturnix japonica (Japanese quail). Its description in RNAcentral is "lncRNA (ENSCJPG00005018059.1)". Lineage: Eukaryota; Metazoa; Chordata; Aves; Galliformes; Phasianidae. The record is from RNAcentral.
UCACAGUCCUAUCAGACCUCAUGCAGCACUGCAGCUAUUAUGGACGGAAUCGGUCAUCCAGGAAGCAAAGCUGUAGCUGUUGAGGACUCCUUCAGACCAAGGAGAAGCUGAAGUCUGGGAGUGACCUGUCAGCAAUAAAAAGGGUUUUCUCAUAAAGCCGACAGGUAUAAGGUCCUGUCAGAAUGACUGCUCCUUCAGAAAAAUCCAUUAAUUAACACUUGUCAUCUGUGACAGUCACAGGUAAUUCUCACGCUGACAGGUCUUUGCAUGCGACAAAUGGAUUCCCGUUAUUCCUUUGACAACUGGACCAUGAAAUCUAAUUUUGCCAGGACGGUAAAUGGUAUCACUGUUUAUGCCAGCUUUUGAAAUUCAUCAAAAUGAGCAGAAUGUUCUUGCAGAUGGAGGAAGAAGAAGCUGCAGUGCACAAGGAACACAGGAUUGCUCUUCUCAGGACAAAAAGCAUCUCUCUGACUAAUAGCAGCUAGUAAUUACAAACGGUAAAUUGACCUCACUGGAUAAGACUUGAGGUCACAACAAAAAAAAGAAAUAACCCAAAUUAAACCCAAACCUAAUGAUUCUACAAUUUCACUGACUGAUUUUUAGCCACAAGGAGUUAAUAAAUUAAUGUAUGCUUAAAAAACCAACAGAAAACAACAUUUCCAUCCCUCUCUACUUAUUGUGGGUGUGCAGCCUCAUCUUGAGUAUCGUCUGCCAUUCUGGUCUCCACGACAUAAGAAAGGAUGUUAAGGUCUGUGAAAGCAUCCAGAGGAAGUCAAGGAAGUUUUACGCAGAUAUGGAAUUAACAAUGAUGAUGGGAAAAAGAUGCUGGAGAGAUAUGGAAGAGCUGGAAGAAAUGGUAGGAGGGUAA